GUGAGUGAGGAGUGUGAGGAGAACCUGCAGGAGGACUGCCCUGUGAGAUUGGUGCACUCAAGGACCAAGUGUCAUUUCUUCCAUGAACAUGCGGCCUGUCACCUGCUCAGUUCUUGUGCUCCUCCUAAUGCUCAGAAGGAGCAAUGGAGACUCAGUGACCCAGACAGAAGGCCUGGUCACUCUCACAGAAGGGUUGCCUGUGAUGCUGAACUGCACCUAUCAGACUACUUACUCACCUUUCCUUUUCUGGUAUGUGCAACAUCUCAAUGAAGCCCCUAAGCUACUCCUGUGGAGCUCCACAGACAUCAAGAGGACCGAGCACCAAGGGUUCCACGCCACUCUCCAUAAGAGCAGCAGCUCCUUCCAUCUGCAGAAGUCCUCAGUGCAGCUGUCUGACUCUGCCCUGUACUACUGUGCUUUGAGUGACACAGUGAGAGAGACUGCAGGGGAAGCUGCACAUGAACCAAGGGUGCAGGAGGGCUGA
Non-coding RNA from Mus caroli (Ryukyu mouse), 484 nucleotides. NCBI's taxonomy places the organism in Eukaryota, Metazoa, Chordata, Mammalia, Rodentia, Muridae. The record is from the annotation of a RefSeq genome assembly.